UACAGAGACUGCAAGCGUUAUUCGGAUUCACUGGGCGUAAAGGGUGCGCAGGCGGCCAAGUGUGUCAGGUGUGAAAUCCCGAGGCUUAACCUCGGAACUGCGCCUGAAACUACUUGGCUAGAGUACUGGAGAGGGUAACGGAAUUCACGGUGUAGCAGUGAAAUGCGUAGAUAUCGAGAGGAACACCUGCGGCGAAGGCGGGUUGCUGGGCCGACACUGACGCUGAUGCGCGAAAGCCAGGGGAGCGAACGGG
Molecule: ribosomal RNA, 253 nt
Filed under: uncultured bacterium
Lineage: Bacteria
Description: partial 16S ribosomal RNA
Rfam family: Bacterial small subunit ribosomal RNA
Source: RNAcentral